CAGCCGCCGGGGAAUACGAAGGGGGCUAGCGUUGUUCGGAAUUACUGGGCGUAAAGCGCACGUAGGCGGAUAUUUAAGUCAGGGGUGAAAUCCCAGAGCUCAACUCUGGAACUGCCUUUGAUACUGGGUAUCUUGAGUAUGGAAGAGGUGAGUGGAAUUCCGAGUGUAGAGGUGAAAUUCGUAGAUAUUCGGAGGAACACCAGUGGCGAAGGCGGCUCACUGGUCCAUUACUGACGCUGAGGUGCGAAAGCGUGGGGAGCAAACAGGAUUAGAUACCCCCGUAGUCCCUGUCUCUUAUACA
Molecule: ribosomal RNA, 301 nt
Filed under: uncultured bacterium
Lineage: Bacteria
Description: partial 16S ribosomal RNA
Rfam family: Bacterial small subunit ribosomal RNA
Source: RNAcentral